CCUAAAACUGCACCCUGCUGGGAUAGGGAGGCCUGGUGAUCCUGCCAGUGGCGGGGCAGGGCCAGCAAAUGCCAGGUUUGAGGACCAUCCUGGUGAAAGCAAUGUGGAUUCUGGAGUUUUAAAAUGAGCCAGCUGAAAUGCAGAUGUGCCAACUGACGUGAAGACUUGAAAAUGGACUUCAAGUUUCACUUAAAGGAGCCGAGUGGACGGUGACUAAUAUUGUCACUGGGGCAGGACAACGCUUUGAUGGGGAACUGUGCUGCUAAUGUGAGAGGCUGAUGAAGAGCCGCUGAUGAAACAAGGAAACAAUCACUGAAAAGCCAAGCUAAAAGACACCAUCUUCCCGACCCUUACCAUGCAUAACCUGCAGACUCUGCACGAGAGCUAAUGCUGUAAGUAA
Alligator sinensis (Chinese alligator) is the source of this 400-nucleotide long non-coding RNA. RefSeq lists it as uncharacterized. The transcript is spliced from 3 exons. Lineage: Eukaryota; Metazoa; Chordata; Crocodylia; Alligatoridae. The record is from RefSeq and is a predicted model, not a curated record.